GACGAACGCUGGCGGCGUGCUUAACACAUGCAAGUCGAACGGAAAGGCCCUGCUUUUGUGUGGUGCUCGAGUGGCGAAAGGGUGAGUAACACGUGAGUAACCUGCCCUUGACUUUGGGAUAACCUCAGGAAACUGGGGCGAAUACCGGAUAUGAGCUCCUGCUGCAUGGUGGGGGUUGGAAAGGUUCGGCGGUUGGGGAUGGACUCGCGGCUUAUCAGCUUGUUGGUUGGGUAGUGGCUUACCAAGGCUUUGACGGGUAGCCGGGCUGAGAGGGUGGCCGGCACGAUUGGGGUGGAGCUACGGCACAGACUCCUCCGGGAGGGAGCAGUGGGGAAUAUUGUAUUAUGGGCUGAAGCCUGAUGCAGUACCGCCGCGUGGCGUAUGACGGCCAUCGGGUUGUAAACCGCUUUCGCCUGUGACGAAGCGUGAGUGACGGUAAUUGGUAAAGAAGCACCGGCUAACUACGUG
Molecule: ribosomal RNA, 468 nt
Filed under: uncultured bacterium
Lineage: Bacteria
Description: partial 16S ribosomal RNA
Rfam family: Bacterial small subunit ribosomal RNA
Source: RNAcentral